CCUACGGGUGGCAGCAGUGAGGAAUAUUCGUCAAUGGACGCAAGUCUGAACCAGCCAUGCCGCGUGCAGGAUGACGGCUCUAUGAGUUGUAAACUGCUUUUGUACGAGGGUAAACCCCUAUGCGUGUAUCGUGUUGAAAGUAUCGUACGAAUAAGGAUCGGCUAACUCCGUGCCAGCAGCCGCGGUAAUACGGAGGGUGCGAGCGUUAAUCGGAAUUGCUGGGCGGAAAGCGAUCGUAGGCGGUAUGUCAAGUCAAGGGUGAAAUCCCCGCGCUCAACGUGGGAACUGCCUUGGAAACUGGCAAACUGGAGUGUGUGAGAGGAUAGUGGAAUUCCAGGUGUAGGAGUGAAAUCCGUAGAUAUCUGGAGGAACAUCAGUGGCGAAGGCGACUAUCUGGCACAUAACUGACGCUGAGGAGCGAAAGCGUGGGUAGCAAACAGGAUUAGAUACCCUAGUAGUC
Molecule: ribosomal RNA, 460 nt
Filed under: uncultured bacterium
Lineage: Bacteria
Description: partial 16S ribosomal RNA
Rfam family: Bacterial small subunit ribosomal RNA
Source: RNAcentral